RNAcentral lists this long non-coding RNA (5510 nucleotides) under Sus scrofa (pig). Its description in RNAcentral is "lncRNA (ENSSSCG00000061315.1, ENSSSCG00160025984.1, ENSSSCG00175039618.1)". Lineage: Eukaryota; Metazoa; Chordata; Mammalia; Artiodactyla; Suidae. The record is from RNAcentral.
UAAUUUUGGUUAUUUGGGUUCUUUCUCUCCUCUUUUUAAUGAGUCUGGCCAGGGGUUUGUCAAUUUGUUUACCUUUUCAAAGAACCAGCUCUUAGUUUUAUUAAUUUUCUCUAUUGUUUUUUGAAUCUCUAUUUUAUUGAUUUCUUCUUUGAUCUUUAUAAUUUCCUUCCUUCUGCUGACUUUAGGUCUUUUUUGUUCUUUUUCUAAUUCGUUUAGGUGGAGGGUUAAGUGGUCAAUUUGGGAUCUUUCUUCUUUUUUGAGAAAGGCCUGUAUUGCUAUAAAUUUCCCUCUGAGCACUGCUUUUGCAGCAUCCCAUAGAUUUUGAGAGGUUCUGUCUUCAUUAUCAUUUGUUUCAAGGUAUUUUUUAAUUUCCUUCUUGAUUUACUCAUUGACCCAUUGGUUUUUUAGUAGCAUGUUGUUUAGUGCCCGUGUAGUAGGUUUUUUCCUCGUUUCUUUUCCCAUGGUUGAUUUCUAGUUUCAUGGCAUUGUGGUCAGAGAAGAUACAUGAAAUAAUUUCUGUGUUCCUAAAUUUGUUGAAGUUAGCUUUGUGUCCCAAUAUGUGGUUGAUUCUUGAGAAUGUUCCAUGUGCACUCAAGAAGAAUGUGUAUUCUGCUUUUUUUGGAUGUAGUGUCCUGAAGAUAUCAAUUAAGUCUAACUUUUCUAUUGUUUCCUUUAGGAUCUCUGUUGCUUUAUUGGUUUUCUGUCUAGAGGAUCUGUCCAUUGAUGUGAGGGGGGUAUUUAGGUCUCCUACUAUGAUUGUAUUCUCAUCAAUAUCUCCCUUUAUGUCUGUUAAUAUUUGUUGUAUGUAUCUGGGUGCUCCUAUAUUUGGGGCAUAUAUGUUGAUGAUAGUAACAUCCUCUCCUUGGAUGGAUCCCUUAAUGAUUAAAUAGUGUCCUUCUUUGUCUUUCUUUCUGUCUUUUGUUUUAAACUCUAUUUUGUCUGAUAUGAGCAUUGCGACUCCUGCUUUUCUGUCAUGUCUAUUGGCGUGAAAUAUUUUUCCCCACCCUUUCACUUUCAAUCUAUAUGUAUCUUUUGUCCUAAGGUGAGUUUCUUGUAGGCAGCAUAUUGAAGGUUUUUGCCUUUUUAUCCACUCAGCCACUCUGUGUCUUUUGAUUGGGGCAUUCAGUCCAUUGACAUUUAAGGUGAUAAUUGAUAGAUGAUUAUUUAUUGCCAUUUGAACCUCGUGUUCCAGUUGAUUCUAUGGUUCUCCAUUCUUCCUUUCUUUUUUUGGUUGGAUGGUCUCUGGUUAUUAUCUGCUUGAGUGGUUUUUUUUUUUUUUAUUUUUUGUGAAAGCAAUGUUUGGUUUUGGCUAGUGGUUGCCCUGUUUUUUAAGUAUGCUAACCUCUUCCUAUAAUUGUGUGUUUUAGCCUGAUGGUCCUGUAGGUUCAAACACUUCAUUACUAUACUAAAAUUAAGAAGAGAAACAAACAAACAAAAAAAAGGGUCUAUUUAUUUCCUAACACCCCUUGCCCACAUUUUAUGAUUUUGAUGACUCUUUUUUUCUUUUUAAGUUUAUUUUGUUUGAAACAUGUUCAUGAUUAAAUCUGUAUGCUGGCUUAUUUGAGUGACUGCUCUCUGAUUGUGGUUUCCUCAAUCCUAGUUCUUCUUCUUCCUUUUUUUUUUUUUUUCCUUUUUCCUCCCUUUCUUUCCUUCCUUUCUUUUUGGUUUAGAGAAGCCCUUUCAGUAUUUCUUUUAGCCUGGGCUUUGUGUUGCUGUAUUCUUUUAGCUUUUAUUUGUUGGAAAAAAAAUUUAUUUCUCCUUCUAUUUUAAAUGAUAUUCUUGCUGGAUAGAGUAUUCUAGGAUGCAUAUUUUUUCCUUUUAGCACUUUAAAUAUCUCUUGCCAUUCCCUCCUGGCCUGUAGUGUUUCUGUAGAGAAAUCAGCUGAUAACCUUAUGGGGGUUCCCUUGUAGGUAACAUUCUGCUUUUCUCUUGCUGCCUUUAGGAUCCUCUCUUUAUCACUAACUUUUGCCAUUUUUAUUAUAAUUUGUCUUGGUGUGGGCCUAUUUGGGUUCAACUUGUUUGGGGCCCUCUGUGCUUCCUGUAUCUUGAACUCAGUAUCCUUUAGAUUUAGGAAGUUUCCAGUGAUAAUUUCUUCAAAUAUAUUUUCCAUCCCCUUAUCUUUUUCUACUCUUUCUGGAAUUCCUAUUAUGUGUAGAUUGGCCCACUUUAUAUUAUCCCAUAGGUCUCUUAUAUUGCUUUCAUGUUUUUUUGUUUGGUUUUCUGUCUGCUGACCUGACUGGGUGAUUUCCAUUGUUCUAUCUUCCAAAUCACUAAUUCAUUCUUCUGCAUUAUUCAUUCUGGUUUUACUGCCCUUAGUUCAGUUCGUAUCUCUGCAAAUGAAUUUUCUAGUUUUUCUUGCUCCUCCUUAUAUUUUCUAGUUCCUUUCUGAGGGUGUCUGAAUUACUGUUCAUAUCUUCUCUUAAUUCCUUCAGUAUUUUCACUAUUUCUCUUUUGAACUCCAGGUCUGUCAGACUGCAGAGAUCUGUUUAAUUGUUGACUGUUUUAGGUGAGUUCUCCUGUUGGUUUAACUGCGGGUGGUUUCUCAGCUUCUUCAUCUUGCUUGUUGUUUUCUUUUUCCUGGUGGAGUUGUACUCUCCGUGGCCAAGCAGUGUUUGCCUUGUCACUGCCGUGGAAUGUUUCCUGAGGGCUGACAUUGUUGGUCAGUCUUCUUUGAGGCAGUGUGGCUUUUCCGGAGGGUGGGCAGGGCUGACAGGGUCUCUCUGAAGCAAAUGAGGACUUCCUGAGGGCAGAUAGAACUGGGAGGUAUGCACCACGAUGGAAGCAGAUUUCACUCAGCCGGGCAGAGGUUGCUCUGGUGUUUUUGGGCUGUGGGACUCUUGCAGGGGGCUGGUGGUGUUGGGCAGCUGUACCUUGGGAGUGUGGCACCCCCCCGAGGGCUGGAGUGGCUAGCUGGGCUGCUGCAAACCCAAGAGGCUCUUCCCCAGGGCAGCCUGACUUGGAAGGACGGCCUGAGAAUGUAGGCAGAUCUUUUCACGGCCUAGCUGAUCUUGUUCUAUCUUUUCUAGGCUGUAGACCUUUUCCUGGGGGCUUUCGGUGUUUGGUGCUGCUCCACAGGGGUAUAGCCCCUCCAAAGGGCAAGCAGGCCAGGGCAGGGACAGCCCCUGCGGUGGUAGGCUUCUGGCAAUUGUUGAGGCCAGCCCUCCUGGAUGGCAGGCAGCCCCAGGUCUGGCGCGUGCUUAAGGGGUGGGGUGGGGGGGAUGCACUGGGAAGCACAGCUUUCUGAUAGCUAGCAGGCCAGUGAGCUCACUGUGCCAUGGGGACCCACCCCUUCUUCUCUCCCCUCCCCAACACUGGCGCAGACCCAGCUCUUCUCCCAGGUUCCCUCUGAUAUGGCUUUCCAUUUCUCCGCCCUUAGUGUAUUGCUCCCUCCCCCUGUGACUCUCUGCUUUCUAGUCUCCCAGGCAGUCUCUGCCCUGUCAAACUUGACAGACUGGUUCCUCGACCCCCCCAAGCAGUCUCCGCUCCACCCACCCCAGCCCUUUCCUGGGUACUAACUUCUGGAGCUGAGGUCUCGGUGCCCAGCCCCCACCCAAGCAUCUCAGUUUUUGGUGACUGUGCCAGUAGUUCAAAUGAUCUGUUCAGUCUUUGCUUUUCAGAACUCCAACUUACUGCUAUACUCUUUGCAUCUGGAGAUUCCUCCAAUUCGGUUGAUCUUUCCAUCUAGUAGGUGACUUUCCAGGGUGUGGAAUCCCUUUCUCCUCCACAGUUCCCUUUUGGGAGAGCCCGGCCAGUUCAGAUUCACCAUCUGUCACUCUCCUCUUUUCUCUUGUUUUACCUGGUAAUGUCACGAGAUUUUGCCAUUAUUGGAGUUUAGGUUCUUCUGCCAGCGAUUUGUUGCUGUUCUGUGUGAGUUGUUUAACCUGUAUAUGUGUUUUUUUUUGUGUGCUUGUGGGAGAGGGCGAGCGUGUCCCCCUACUCUUCCACCGUCUUGCCUCCUAAGCUUUUUAUUUUAAUUUUUGCUGAGGAUUAGGCUCAGAAAUGGCCAUUUUAGCUAGUGUAGUUGUGGAAUAUUUAGUUAUGUAUUUGGGGAAUAUUUACACAAUUUGACCUAAUAAAACUGGCAGAAUAUUACUCUAUUCAGGAAUACUUACUUGUUCCCCAAGGCUGAGCUUGAUAGUUCUUCAAAGGCAAGCAUAUAGGAUUCAUCAUAAUUUUUCCUCUUCCUCCAUAUUCUAUAUCCAGUCACUUCAUCAGCAACUAUACUUUACUUCUAAUACAAAUUCAUCUAGACUUCUAUUAAUUACAUCACUAUCCAUACCUCUUUAGCCUCCUGCCCUGGUCUCCUAACUGGUUCCCUUUCUUCUACUCUUUCCCUACAAUCCUCUAUUUUGAAAUGGUUUCCCAAGACACAUAGAAUCAAAUUAGAACUCCUACCAUGACCUACAAACCUUAAACCUUUCCAAAUCUGAGAUGUCCUCCUUCCACCUCCUCUUCCAUUCAUCUCUCUCCCUCUUCUUUACUCUGUUUCAUCAACACUGGAUCUGGUGUUUCUCUAAUGUGCCAAACCCUUUCUAUUUUUUUGCCCUUUGAACUUGUGGUAUCCUCAGCCUAGAAUCCUCUCCCACAUCUUUCUAUGGCUGAUCUGCUUGCCUUUACUUUCUUGCUCCAAUGUAUCACUUCAGAGAGGACUUCCAAAAGAGCCAUGCUUGUUGUUCAUCUCCAGACACUCUGAUCCCUUUGCUCUAAUUUAUUUUCUUCAUAGAACUUAUUUUUUGGUGUCACAUUUUAUGAAUAUAUAUUUAUAUAUUUUAUUUUUCUUGUCUACAUCCUUCUGUCUCUUCAUCUCUCUCUCUCUCUUUUUCUUCUUCCCUUCCAAAGAAGUGUAAGAAAGAAAUUUUGCCUGCCUCCUUUGCUGAUGUACUGUUUUUAUAGCACCUGAGAUAGUGCCUGAAAAAUAAUAAGACCUUAAAAAUUUUUUUAUAUUUAUGAGGGCAAGGACAUGAUGGCAGACUAGGAAGACCCCCCCCCCAAAAUGAAUACAUCAAGGCUAUAACUACAUAUAGAACAAUGCUCAUUGAGAAUGACCUGAACUAGCAGAAUCACUCUUCUAUAAACAAAGCUGCAAAGAAAGAAUCAAAAGGAGUCUGGUAGGAGGUGAGAAAAUAUAUAGUUUUAUAUGCAUAUAUAUGUGUAUGUAGCAAAUAUAUAGUAAAUGCAGUGGAUCAUCCACUAAAUAAGCUAGUAUAAAGAAUAAAAGGCAGAAAUUAUAAAAGCAACUGUAAGAACAAUAAACAGUUAAGAGACAGAGAUGAAUAUGUAAAAUGACCUCAAAAACAAAAAACAGGAGUUCCCGUUGUGGCUCAGUGGUUGACAAACCCAACCAGGAUCCAUAAGGACCCAGGUUCAAUCCCUGGCCUCACUCAGUGGGUUAAGAGUCACGGCGUUGCUGUGAACUGUAGGUCACAGAUAAGGCUGGGAUCCUGCGUUGCUGUGGCUGUGGCAUAGGCCAGCAGCUACAGCUCCGAUUGGCCCCCUAGCCUGGGAACCUC